RNAcentral lists this ribosomal RNA (369 nucleotides) under uncultured phototrophic eukaryote. Its description in RNAcentral is "SSU rRNA". It matches the Rfam family "Bacterial small subunit ribosomal RNA", at positions 524 to 896 of the family's 1533-position model. The record is from RNAcentral.
UACGGGGGAUGCAAGCGUUAUCCGGAUUUAUUGGGCGUAAAGCGCCUGUAGGUUGUUUAAUAAGUCUGUUGUUAAAGACUAGGGCUUAACCCCAGGAAAGCAAUGGAAACUACUAGACUUGAGUAUGAUAGGGGUAGAGGGAAUUUCUAGUGUAGCGGUGAAAUGCGUAGAUAUUAGAAAGAACACCGGCGGCGAAAGCGCUCUACUGGACCAUUACUGACACUCAGAGGCGAAAGCUAGGGGAGCAAAAGGGAUUAGAUACCCCUGUAGUCCUAGCCGUAAACGAUGGAUACUAGAUGUUGCGCAAUUUGUGCAGUAUCUUAGCUAACGCGUUAAGUAUCCCGCCUGGGGAGUACGCUCGCAAGGGUG